Long non-coding RNA from Xiphophorus hellerii (green swordtail), 1108 nucleotides. RefSeq lists it as uncharacterized. The record is from RefSeq and is a predicted model, not a curated record. NCBI's taxonomy places the organism in Eukaryota, Metazoa, Chordata, Actinopteri, Cyprinodontiformes, Poeciliidae. The transcript has 4 exons.
UUUUACAAACUAAAUGUUUUCAUUCUGAAGUCUAGAAAUUACAUCUGCAAUUUUAUAAAGUCAUGUUAAAUUUCAUAAAAGUUUACAGAAACGUCUGAAAACAUAUUUUCAUCUCCAUCUUGAAGUUUUUGUUUUUAGUUUCCAGGUUUUGCAGGAUUUUCCAGGUUCAGAGGAAACUUUGAACCUUUUCCCAGGAAAAAAACAGAAAUAAAGAAACAACAAACUGUUGAGGCUUUUUCCACUUUGCACUUAAAAAACUUUUUAACGUUUUGUGAUUAGUGGGCGGGGCCUCGCUCCUCAGCAGACGCUCUGAUUGGUCCGUUUUCCCUCCCCUCUCUGUUGAUGUUGGUGGCUGACUCCAACCAUUUCUGCAGGUUACAUAAACACACACACACACACACUUAAACUUUUCAGCUGCGUCUUUGUUUGUAGUUUUGGUUUGGCGUUGCCGUGGAGACGCAGAGGAGAAACCAGAACCAGAUGAAGGAGCAGAAAGUGGAGCCGGGCGGCGCUACAUCUGCUGCAGCUGCAGGUUUUUUUUUCUGAUCGGACUCACAGAGACUUGGAAACAAACUCGGUUACCUCGACGCUUCACGUCCUGGUUUCAGAAAUAAAGUUUGGGUCAUUAAUCAGACUGGAAUAAAUGAACGUUUGGUUCAGAACCCGGUUCGUCCCAAACCGGCCGGCCGGCUGCUGGACGUUUUCUGGAGGGAGGGAAUCGUCUCAGCUCAGAGGCGUUCCCAUGACGACAGAACCAGACGCAGACCUCUCUGCUGCCACCUGCUGGCCGGGCGAGCCACUGAACCCAUGAGGAGGAGGAGGAGGAGGAUGAUGAUGAUGAUGAUGAGGAUGAUGAUGAUGAUGAUGAUGAUGAAGUCCUCAGGGUGCACUUACUUUCCUAGAAACUUUAAACACAGAAACAGGUAAAAACUUUCAGAAGAGUUCACACCCAACAACGACGUUUCAACCAAAACAUUUAGUGAAUGGAAAUCUGAAAAGUGUGGUGUGCAUGUUUAUUCAGCCCCCCUUUUAAAUUGCCCCAAAUUAAAAAAAGAUUUGGAGGUCUGGAUGAUUCUGGAGUUCUGCCUGAAUAAAAACCAUAAACUCA